Molecule: ribosomal RNA, 445 nt
Filed under: uncultured bacterium
Lineage: Bacteria
Description: partial 16S ribosomal RNA
Rfam family: Bacterial small subunit ribosomal RNA
Source: RNAcentral
UCCAGACUCCUACGGGAGGCAGCAGUGGGGGAUAUUGCACAAUGGGGGAAACCCUGAUGCAGCAACGCCGCGUGAGUGAAGAAGUAUUUCGGUAUGUAAAGCUCUAUCAGCAGGGAAGAGAAUGACGGUACCUGACUAAGAAGCCCCGGCUAACUACGUGCCAGCAGCCGCGGUAAUACGUAGGGGGCGAGCGUUAUCCGGAUUUACUGGGUGUAAAGGGAGCGUAGACGGCUGGUCAAGUCUGAAGUGAAAGCCCGGGGCUUAACCCCGGAACGGCUUUGGAAACUGAGCAGCUAGAGUGCUGGAGAGGUAAGCGGAAUUCCUAGUGUAGCGGUGAAAUGCGUAGAUAUUAGGAGGAACACCAGUGGCGAAGGCGGCUUACUGGACAGUAACUGACGUUGAGGCUCGAAAGCGUGGGGAGCAAACAGGAUUAGAUACCCGCGUA